RNAcentral lists this ribosomal RNA (513 nucleotides) under Planctomycetota bacterium. Its description in RNAcentral is "bacterial SSU rRNA". It matches the Rfam family "Bacterial small subunit ribosomal RNA", at positions 1 to 546 of the family's 1533-position model. Lineage: Bacteria; Pseudomonadati; Planctomycetota. The record is from RNAcentral.
GUUAUGGAGAGUUUGAUCCUGGCUCAGGAUAAACGUUGGCGGCGUGCCUAAUGCAUGUAAGUCGCACGAGAAGCCGGACUUCGGUCCGGUGGGCAGUGGCGGACGGGUGAGUAACACGUAGGAACCUGCCCAGAAGUGUGGGACAACCCUUCGAAAGGGGGGCUAAUACCACAUACGGUCUCCGGACCAAAGCUUCGGCGCUUCUGGAGGGGCCUGCGGCGGAUUAGCUAGUUGGUGGGGUAACGGCCUACCAAGGCGACGAUCUGUAGCUGGUCUGAGAGGAUGAUCAGCCACACUGGGACUGAGACACGGCCCAGACUCCUACGGGAGGCAGCAGCAGGGAAUUUUGCACAAUCGACGCAAGUCGGAUGCAGCAACGCCGCGUGGAGGAAGAAGGCCCUAGGGUUGUAAACUCCUUUUGCGAGGGAAGAAGAUCUGACGGUACCUCGCGAAUAAGUCACGGCUAACUACGUGCCAGCAGCCGCGGUCAUACGUAGGUGGCGCACGUGGUCC